AGUUUGAUCCUGGCUCAGGACGAACGCUGGCGGCGUGCCUAACACAUGCAAGUCGAGCGAUGAAAAAGAAGUAGAUCCCUUCGGAGUGACGCCUCUUUGGAUUAGCGGCGGACGGGUGAGUAACACGUGAGCAACCUGCCGUACACAUUGGGAUAGCCUCGGGAAACUGGGAUUAAUACCAAACGAAACAUAUUGAUAGCAUUAUCAAAAUGUCAAAGAUUUAUCGGUGUACGAUGGGCUCGCGUCUGAUUAGCUAGUUGGUGAGAUAAAAGCUCACCAAGGCAAUGAUCAGUAGCCGGCCUGAGAGGGUGAUCGGCCACAUUGGGACUGAGACACGGCCCAAACUCCUACGGGAGGCAGCAGUGGGGAAUAUUGCACAAUGGAGGGAACUCUGAUGCAGCGACGCCGCGUGAGCGAAGAAGGAAUUCGUUUCGUAAAGCUCUGUCCUAUGGGAAGAUAAUGACGGUACCAUAGAAGAAAGCCCCGGCUAACUACGUGCCAGCAGCCGCGGUAAUACGUAGGGGGCGAGCGUUGUCCGGAAUUAUUGGGCGUAAAGGGUUCGUAGGCGGUAAUACAUGUCAGAUGUGAAAUCUUGUGGCUUAACCACAUCAAGCAUCUGAAACUGUAUAACUUGAGUGGAGGAGAGGUAAGUGGAAUUCCUAGUGUAGCGGUGAAAUGCGUAGAUAUUAGGAAGAAUACCAGUAGCGAAGGCGACUUACUGGCCUCUAACUGACGCUGAUGAACGAAAGCGUGGGUAGCAAACAGGAUUAGAUACCCUGGUAGUCCACGCCGUAAACGAUGAGUGCUAGGUGUCGGGAGUCAAAUCUCGGUGCCGUAGUAACGCAAUAA
This 849-nucleotide ribosomal RNA is filed under the name uncultured bacterium. Its description in RNAcentral is "bacterial SSU rRNA". It matches the Rfam family "Bacterial small subunit ribosomal RNA", at positions 10 to 863 of the family's 1533-position model. The record is from RNAcentral.